GCCACUGUGGUGGAAUAGGUAGACAUAGUAGGUUUAAAACCUGCGGGCGUGGCCAUAUGAGUUCAAAUCUCAUCAGUGGUA
This 81-nucleotide transfer RNA is filed under the name Halisarca harmelini. RNAcentral describes it as "tRNA-Leu". It matches the Rfam family "tRNA". Rfam says of the family: Transfer RNA (tRNA) molecules are approximately 80 nucleotides in length. Their secondary structure includes four short double-helical elements and three loops (D, anti-codon, and T loops). The record is from RNAcentral. Lineage: Eukaryota; Metazoa; Porifera; Demospongiae; Chondrillida; Halisarcidae.